UUUUGAACUUGGUUGGUGGUGAUAUUUUACUGAGAUCUGCUUGAUGUGCUGCAACUUUGCUGGCAGGAUUUGUCCUCUGCUAUCCAGCCUGGCCAUGACCCUGCACAGCUGGGAGCGCUCUAGAUGAACUGAGUCAGCCAAAGGAGGCUUUAUAUAUAAAUUGAACUGAAAUUGAAUAGUCCCACAUGCACAAGGUCAGAAAGACUUCACUGAAUGGCUGGCUGCUCUGCAUUGAAGAUCUUUUUGCUUGAGGGAGCUGCAUGAAAAUAGUGAUAGCACCUAGAGCUGGUGAAGCUGAGAAUUUAAACCAGUAUAUUAGCAAAGACAUGGGAGUGAAGUUUAAAUGAAACUCUUGAUAUACCAGCAGCACAGAAGUAAGAAUAGGCAGAGGUAAACAGCAUACAACCCUAUGGGUUUAACCCCUCAAGACACUCUCCUGUAGGUACAGUCUGACUCAGGGGCGGGUAAGAGAAUUGACCCCGACUUCUUUAGAAAUAGAAAUUUGUCCCUAGAUGUGCUGUGUGGUAAGUUCCGUGACAGGUUUAUGAUGUGCUCCUGUAGAAGAUGGGUCCAAAGAAUAAUCAUCUCUUUCUGAAGAACACAAGAAUGCUUUGAAACUAGGAGCUGGUUAUUAAA
Long non-coding RNA from Pezoporus flaviventris, 636 nucleotides. RefSeq lists it as uncharacterized. The transcript is spliced from 3 exons. The record is from RefSeq and is a predicted model, not a curated record. NCBI's taxonomy places the organism in Eukaryota, Metazoa, Chordata, Aves, Psittaciformes, Psittacidae.